Molecule: non-coding RNA, 29 nt
Filed under: Rattus norvegicus (Norway rat)
Lineage: Eukaryota; Metazoa; Chordata; Mammalia; Rodentia; Muridae
Source: RNAcentral
UACAUAGUGUAAAGGCCCAUCCAGUGUGA